RNAcentral lists this long non-coding RNA (763 nucleotides) under Equus caballus (horse). Its description in RNAcentral is "lncRNA (ENSECAG00000036529.3)". Lineage: Eukaryota; Metazoa; Chordata; Mammalia; Perissodactyla; Equidae. The record is from RNAcentral.
GGACACUCGAGUAGCCCAACAGAGAGAUCCAUCUGGUGAGAUACUGAAGAAUCAACUAGACAGCCAUGUGGGUGCGCCAUCUUCUAAACAGAUCCUCCAGCCCCAGAUGAGCCUGCAUGUGACUGCAGUCUUGGCUGACAUCUUGACAACAACCUCAUGAGAGACCCUGAGCCAGAACCACUCACCUCAGUCUCCCUUGAGCUCAUGGCCUACCGGGUAUUGUUGCCUUCAGCUGCUAAAUUUUGAGAGUCUACAUCUCUGAGGACAGGAGCAGAGUAUGGUUCAUUUCUGAGUCAUCCAGAAGGCCUGGACCUUGCCUGCUACAAAAAAAUCAAGGGCUAUACCUACUGGCUUACUUCUGAUUGCUUUGCCACUUACUAGUCGUGUCAUCUUCUUCAAUAUGUCUUUGUUCAAUGACUGAACGACUGAAUGAACACAUGACGAGAAAGAGACUUUUGAACCUGUGGAGUCCAGAGGCUGUGAAAUGCAGAGAUGUGCAACCCCAGGACAAGUGGCUCAGACCAUUUAUCUAUCAGAGGAUUCAUGGAAAGGACUCAGUGUUUACCAGGAUACUUCCAAGGUGCCCUAUCCGUAUAGAGUGGAACUUUAAAACCGGAGAAAAAGUCCAACGAAAUAAGUCAAGUGGAAUAUGUUGUCUUCUACCAUAUUUAGGCAGAGAUCUUGACUAAUUAAUCUUCAAAGAAGUGAAAAUAAUCUACUCUUGAACUUAAUUAUGCAAAUAAAACAAUUCUAAUUUCGGAAA